Molecule: ribosomal RNA, 253 nt
Filed under: uncultured bacterium
Lineage: Bacteria
Description: partial 16S ribosomal RNA
Rfam family: Bacterial small subunit ribosomal RNA
Source: RNAcentral
GACGGAGGAUGCAAGUGUUAUCCGGAAUCACUGGGCGUAAAGCGUCUGUAGGUGGUUCGAAAAGUCCACUGUUAAAAAUUGAGGCUUAACUUCAAAGAUGCCGUGGAAACUUUCAAACUAGAGUAUGGUAGGGGUAGAGGGAAUUUCCAGUGGAGCGGUGAAAUGCGUAGAUAUUGGAAAGACCACCGAUGGCGAAGGCACUCUACUGGGCCAUUACUGACACUGAGACACGAAAGCGUGGGUAGCAAACAGG